CCUAGGCAAGUUUCCUGACUUUGUGUGCCCCCAAAUACACAGAUUGAACAAGUAAAAAUCUUUAACCAUUUACUUUUGUGUGUUUGCAGCUAGAAAACUGGAACUAUGCCAUUUAAUUAGGGAAGUAUCCUGUCAAAUUCUCUCUGUUUGGCAUUGGAGUGCAAGGUCUGAAAGAUGGAAAUCAAACCCUGACUUAAGCUUUGGUCUGGCAGCUAAUAAGGAGUGUGAAUCUCUUCCCAUGUAAUCUUUAAUCUCUGAAAUCUAAGGAAAAGAAGUAAAAGAUAAGGGCACAAUAAAGGGCAGAAACGGCAUGGACCUAAAAGAAGC
Long non-coding RNA from Bos indicus x Bos taurus (hybrid cattle), 327 nucleotides. NCBI's taxonomy places the organism in Eukaryota, Metazoa, Chordata, Mammalia, Artiodactyla, Bovidae. The record is from Ensembl.